UAUCGGAUACUGGGCGUAAGCGUGUGUAGGCGGUUCGGAAAGAAAGAUGUGAAAUCCCAGGGCUCAACCUUGGAACUGCAUUUUUAACUGCCGAGCUAGAGUAUGUCAGAGGGGGGUAGAAUUCCACGUGUAGCAGUGAAAUGCGUAGAUAUGUGGAGGAAUACCGAUGGCGAAGGCAGCCCCCUGGGAUAAUACUGACGCUCAGACACGAAAGCGUGGGGAGCAAACAGGAUUAGAUACCCUGGUAGUCCACGCCCUAAACGAUGUCAACUAGCUGUUGGGGCCGUUAGGCCUUAGUAGCGCAGCUAACGCGUGAAGUUGACCGCCUGGGGAGUACGGUCGCAAGAUUAAAACUCAAAGGAAUUGACGGGGACCCGCACAAGCGGUGGAUGAUGUGGAUUAAUUCGAUGCAACGCGAAAAACCUUACCUACCCUUGACAUGUCUGGAAAGCCGAAGAGAUUUGGCCGUGCUCGCAAGAGAACCGGAACACAGGUGCUGCAUGGCUGUCGUCAGCUCGUGUCGUGAGAUGUUGGGUUAAGUCCCGCAACGAGCGCAACCCUUGUCAUUAGUUGCUACGCAAGAGCACUCUAAUGAGACUGCCGGUGACAAACCGGAGGAAGGUGGGGAUGACGUCAAGUCCUCAUGGCCCUUAUGGGUAGGGCUUCACACGUCAUACAAUGGUCGGGACAGAGGGUCGCCAACCCGCGAGGGGGAGCCAAUCUCAGAAACCCGAUCGUAGUCCGGAUCGCAGUCUGCAACUCGACUGCGUGAAGUCGGAAUCGCUAGUAAUCGCGGAUCAGAAUGUCGCGGUGAAUACGUUCCCGGGUCUUGUACACACCGCCCGUCACACCAUGGGGAGUGGGUUUCACCAGAAGUAGGUAGCCUAACCGCAAGGAGGGCGCUUACCACGGUGGGAUUCAUGACUGGGGUGA
Molecule: ribosomal RNA, 933 nt
Filed under: Alcaligenes faecalis
Lineage: Bacteria; Pseudomonadati; Pseudomonadota; Betaproteobacteria; Burkholderiales; Alcaligenaceae
Description: bacterial SSU rRNA
Rfam family: Bacterial small subunit ribosomal RNA
Source: RNAcentral